RNAcentral lists this ribosomal RNA (765 nucleotides) under Fusarium pseudograminearum. Its description in RNAcentral is "partial 18S ribosomal RNA". The stretch from base 146 to 299 matches the Rfam family "5.8S ribosomal RNA". Lineage: Eukaryota; Fungi; Ascomycota; Sordariomycetes; Hypocreales; Nectriaceae. The record is from RNAcentral.
CGGGGUUCACUCCCCAACCCCUGUGACAUACCUUACUGUUGCCUCGGCGGAUCAGCCCGCGCCCGGUAAAACGGGACGGCCCGCCAGAGGACCCCUAAACUCUGUUUUUAUUUGUAACUUCUGAGUAAAACCAUAAAUAAAUCAAAACUUUCAACAACGGAUCUCUUGGUUCUGGCAUCGAUGAAGAACGCAGCAAAAUGCGAUAAGUAAUGUGAAUUGCAGAAUUCAGUGAAUCAUCGAAUCUUUGAACGCACAUUGCGCCCGCCAGUAUUCUGGCGGGCAUGCCUGUUCGAGCGUCAUUUCAACCCUCAAGCCCUCGGGUUUGGUGUUGGGGAUCGGCGAGCCUUAUGGCAAGCCGGCCCCGAAAUCUAGUGGCGGUCUCACUGCAGCCUCCAUUGCGUAGUAGCUAACACCUCGCAAACUGGAAACGCGGUGCGGCCAAGCCCGUUAAAACCCCCCAACUUCUGAAUGGUGGACCUCGGGAUCAGGGUAGGAAAUACCCCGCUGGAACUUUAAGCAUUAUCCAAUAAGCGGAAGGAAGCCCCCUUACCGGGUUUAAAAUUCCAAUCCUCCCCAAAAAACCUUAAGGGGCUGGGGAAUCCCCCCCCCCGCCACACCUGGCCCCCCCCCAAAUACCCUCACCUUGUUUUCUCUUCCGCCCCCUCCCCCCCCCACUCCCAUUAAACCUCACUUGUCCCCAGUUUUUUUUUUGUUUUUGGUUUUUGGUAGAACGCUCAAAAUGCCCCUACCAAAAUGUAAAAUUGG